GCCUAGGUAGCUUAGUUGGUAGUGCGUCUGCCUUGUAAGCGCUAGGCCGCGGGUUCGAUUCCCGCCCGGCGCG
RNAcentral lists this transfer RNA (73 nucleotides) under Diaphorina citri (Asian citrus psyllid). It matches the Rfam family "tRNA". Rfam says of the family: Transfer RNA (tRNA) molecules are approximately 80 nucleotides in length. Their secondary structure includes four short double-helical elements and three loops (D, anti-codon, and T loops). Further hydrogen bonds mediate the characteristic L-shaped molecular structure. tRNAs have two regions of fundamental functional importance: the anti-codon, which is responsible for specific mRNA codon recognition, and the 3' end, to which the tRNAs corresponding amino acid is attached (by aminoacyl-tRNA synthetases). tRNAs cope with the degeneracy of the genetic code in two manners: having more than one tRNA (with a specific anti-codon) for a particular amino acid; and 'wobble' base-pairing, i.e. permitting non-standard base-pairing at the 3rd anti-codon position. The record is from Rfam by way of RNAcentral. Lineage: Eukaryota; Metazoa; Arthropoda; Insecta; Hemiptera; Psyllidae.